GGUAAUGUCUGGGAAACGUCUCGAUGGAGGGGGAUAACUACUGGAAACGGUAGCUAAUACCGCAUAACGUCGCAAGACCAAAGAGGGGGACCUUCGGGCCUCUUGCCAUCGGAUGUGCCCAGAUGGGAUUAGCUAGUAGGUGGGGUAACGGCUCACCUAGGCGACGAUCCCUAGCUGGUCUGAGAGGAUGACCAGCCACACUGGAACUGAGACACGGUCCAG
This 222-nucleotide ribosomal RNA is filed under the name uncultured bacterium. RNAcentral describes it as "partial 16S ribosomal RNA". It matches the Rfam family "Bacterial small subunit ribosomal RNA", at positions 109 to 334 of the family's 1533-position model. The record is from RNAcentral.